This 524-nucleotide ribosomal RNA is filed under the name uncultured bacterium. RNAcentral's name for it is "bacterial SSU rRNA". It matches the Rfam family "Bacterial small subunit ribosomal RNA", at positions 567 to 1088 of the family's 1533-position model. The record is from RNAcentral.
GCUCGUAGGUGGUUUGUCGCGUUGUUCGUGAAAACUCACAGCUUAACUGUGGGCGUGCGGGCGAUACGGGCAGACUGGAGUACUGCAGGGGAGACUGGAAUUCCUGGUGUAGCGGUGGAAUGCGCAGAUAUCAGGAGGAACACCGGUGGCGAAGGCGGGUCUCUGGGCAGUAACUGACGCUGAGGAGCGAAAGCGUGGGGAGCGAACAGGAUUAGAUACCCUGGUAGUCCACGCCGUAAACGGUGGGUACUAGGUGUGGGUUUCCUUCCUUGGGAUCCGUGCCGUAGCUAACGCAUUAAGUACCCCGCCUGGGGAGUACGGCCGCAAGGCUAAAACUCAAAGGAAUUGACGGGGGCCCGCACAAGCGGUGGAACAUGUGGUUCAAUUCGACGCUACGCGAGGAACCUUACCUGGGCUUGACAUGUUCCUGACCGUCCUGGAAACAGGGCUUUCCCUUCGGGGCAGGAUCACAGGUGGUGCAUGGCUGUCUUCAACUCGUGUCGUGAGAUGUUGGUUUAAGUCCC